This 526-nucleotide long non-coding RNA is filed under the name Mytilus galloprovincialis (Mediterranean mussel). Lineage: Eukaryota; Metazoa; Mollusca; Bivalvia; Mytilida; Mytilidae. The record is from RNAcentral.
UUUAAUUUCACAUUCAGAUAUAUUGAUGAUGUUUUUUCCAUUAACAAUCCAAAGUUUUCUGAUUGAAUUCCAUUAAUAUAUCCCUCAGAAUAAUAAGAAAUCAAAAAAAACAACAGACACGGCUUCCUCCAGCUCAUUUUUAGACUUAUACCUCGAAUUUGACAUACGCACACAUCUCAGUACCAGAAUCUAUGUCAAACGAGACGAUUUUAAUUUUAAAAUUAUCAAUUUCCCCAACCUCAGUAGCAAUAUACCAACUUCACUUGCAUAUGGGAUAUAGUUAUGAAAGGUACCAGAUUUAUAAUUUGAUACGCCAGACGCGCGUUUCGUCUACAUAAGACUUAUCAGUGACGCUCAGAUCAAAAUAGUUAGAAAGAUAAACAAGUAUAAAUGAAGAGCAUUGGGGACCCAAAACCAAAAAAAAAAAAAAAAAAAAUGUGCCAAAUACGACUAAGGUUAUCUAUGCCUGGGGUAAGAAAAUCCUUAGUAUUUCGAAUAUUUCAUAAUUUUACAAACAGUAAAUUUA